Molecule: unclassified non-coding RNA, 449 nt
Filed under: Hevea brasiliensis (rubber tree)
Lineage: Eukaryota; Viridiplantae; Streptophyta; Magnoliopsida; Malpighiales; Euphorbiaceae
Source: RNAcentral
AUUUUCUUGGUGAGAUCAUUUCAGUGUUUCCAUUUUGUAAUGUUUACCUUUAUGUCUACCAUUAGCUUCAGCAUUUUUCUACUAAACUUCACUUCAUCUGGUUCAAAAAACUGGGGUCCUAUUACAACAUUUGUUUCUUCAUUUAAUCUGGGGUCCCACUCCUACUCCUAUAUUUUCUUUUGAAUCUCAGCAUAUAUUUCAUCCAACAUUUUACCAAGUAUAUCUCCUCUAUCCUAUGAGAAUAAAUUAGGUAUUUUAGUCCUAUCUCCUACAUUCUCAAGCAAUAACAUACUUCAAUACGCCUUUUAUCUCUAUUUAAUUUGUCAGGGGAUACAUUAAAGUUGAAACUUUUUUAUCCAAGCAUGUAAUUUCUGAUUUCGCUAGACACUUUGUGAUGGUAGAGAAAAGACAAGCGCAUUGUUGAAACAGCUUAAUGUUACUUCAUCAUG